RNAcentral lists this ribosomal RNA (301 nucleotides) under uncultured bacterium. RNAcentral's name for it is "partial 16S ribosomal RNA". It matches the Rfam family "Bacterial small subunit ribosomal RNA", at positions 509 to 807 of the family's 1533-position model. The record is from RNAcentral.
CAGUAGCCGCGGUAAUACGGAGGAUCCGAGCGUUAUCCGGAAUUAUUGGGUUUAAAGGGUGCGUAGGCGGAUAGAUAAGUCAGUGGUGAAAGACGGUGGCUCAACCAUCGCAGUGCCGUUGAUACUGUUUAUCUUGAAUAUGGAUGAGGUAGGCGGAAUGUGGCAAGUAGCGGUGAAAUGCAUAGAUAUGCCACAGAACACCGAUUGCGAAGGCAGCUUACCAAGGCAAAAUUGACGCUGAGGCACGAAAGCGUGGGGAUCGAACAGGAUUAGAGACCCGAGUAGUCCCUGUCUCUUAUAC